CCCGCUCCCGGCGCUGGGUGUUAGUGACAAAAAUAACGAUACGGGACUCGUCCAUGGCCCCGUAAUCGGAAUGAGUACACUCUAAGCUCUAUAACCAGGAUCGAUUGGUGGGCAAGUCGGGUGCCAUAUGCCGGGGUAUUUCGUGCUCCUUUAUCGUAUUUUACAGUGUUGGGUUUAAAGUGCUCGUAAUC
Molecule: ribosomal RNA, 191 nt
Filed under: Chrysomelidae environmental sample
Lineage: Eukaryota; Metazoa; Arthropoda; Insecta; Coleoptera; Chrysomelidae
Description: partial 18S ribosomal RNA
Rfam family: Eukaryotic small subunit ribosomal RNA
Source: RNAcentral